AUUCAGCUGACGAGUCCCAAAUAGGACGAAACGUGCGUCUUGGAU
This 45-nucleotide non-coding RNA is filed under the name Schistosoma mansoni. The record is from RNAcentral. Lineage: Eukaryota; Metazoa; Platyhelminthes; Trematoda; Strigeidida; Schistosomatidae.